RNAcentral lists this ribosomal RNA (465 nucleotides) under Vreelandella stevensii. Its description in RNAcentral is "partial 16S ribosomal RNA". It matches the Rfam family "Bacterial small subunit ribosomal RNA", at positions 338 to 795 of the family's 1533-position model. Lineage: Bacteria; Pseudomonadati; Pseudomonadota; Gammaproteobacteria; Oceanospirillales; Halomonadaceae. The record is from RNAcentral.
CCUACGGGAGGCUGCAGUGGGGAAUAUUGGACAAUGGGGGGAACCCUGAUCCAGCCAUGCCGCGUGUGUGAAGAAGGCUCUCGGGUUGUAAAGCACUUUCAGUGAGGAAGAACGCCUGGUGGUUAAUACCCAUCAGGAAAGACAUCACUCACAGAAGAAGCACCGGCUAACUCCGUGCCAGCAGCCGCGGUAAUACGGAGGGUGCGAGCGUUAAUCGGAAUUACUGGGCGUAAAGCGCGCGUAGGUGGCUUGAUAAGCCGGUUGUGAAAGCCCCGGGCUCAACCUGGGAACGGCAUCCGGAACUGUCAAGCUAGAGUGCAGGAGAGGAAGGUAGAAUUCCCGGUGUAGCGGUGAAAUGCGUAGAGAUCGGGAGGAAUACCAGUGGCGAAGGCGGCCUUCUGGACUGACACUGACACUGAGGUGCGAAAGCGUGGGUAGCAAACAGGAUUAGAUACCCCAGUAGUC